Molecule: ribosomal RNA, 481 nt
Filed under: uncultured bacterium
Lineage: Bacteria
Description: partial 16S ribosomal RNA
Rfam family: Bacterial small subunit ribosomal RNA
Source: RNAcentral
GAUGAACGCUGGCGGCGUGCUUAACACAUGCAAGUCGAACGAAGCAUUUGCGACAGAUUUUUUCGGAAUGAAGUUGCUUAUGACUGAGUGGCGGACGGGUGAGUAACGAGUGGGUAACCUGCCUUGUACUGGGGGAUAGCAGCUGGAAACGGCUGGUAAUACCGCAUAAGCGCACAAUGUUGCAUGAAAUGGUGUGAAAAACUCCGGUGGUAUAAGAUGGACCCGCGUCUGAUUAGCUAGUUGGUGAGAUAACAGCCCACCAAGGCGACGAUCAGUAGCCGACCUGAGAGGGUGACCGGCCACAUUGGGACUGAGACACGGCCCAGACUCCUACGGGAGGCAGCAGUGGGGAAUAUUGCACAAUGGAGGAAACUCUGAUGCAGCGACGCCGCGUGAGUGAAGAAGUAAUUCGUUAUGUAAAGCUCUAUCAGCAGGGAAGAUAGUGACGGUACCUGACUAAGAAGCUCCGGCUAAAUACGUG